UACAGAGGUCCCAAGCGUUGUUCGGAUUCACUGGGCGUAAAGGGUGCGCAGGCGGCCGUGUGUGUGAGGCGUGAAAGCCCGAUGCUUAACAUCGGAAUUGCACCUCAAACUACACGGCUAGAGCAUUGGAGAGGGUAGCGGAAUUCACGGUGUAGCAGUGAAAUGCGUAGAUAUCGUGAGGAACACCAGAGGCGAAGGCGGCUACCUGGACAAUUGCUGACGCUCAGGCACGAAAGCGUGGGGAGCAAAAGGG
This 253-nucleotide ribosomal RNA is filed under the name uncultured bacterium. RNAcentral describes it as "partial 16S ribosomal RNA". It matches the Rfam family "Bacterial small subunit ribosomal RNA", at positions 524 to 776 of the family's 1533-position model. The record is from RNAcentral.